GAUGAACGCUGGCGGCGUGCCUAAUACAUGCAAGUCGAGCGAACGGACGCGAAGCUUGCUUCUCUGAUGUUAGCGGCGGACGGGUGAGUCACACGUGGAUCCCCUACCUAUAAGACUGGGAUAACUUCGGGAAACCGGAGCUAAUACCGGAUAAUAUUUUGAACCGCAUGGUUCAAAAGUGAAAGACGGUCUUGCUGUCACUUAUAGCUGGAUCUGGGCUGCAUUAGCUAGUCGGUAAGGUAACGGCUUACCAAGGCAACGAUGCAUAGCCGACCUGAGAGGGUGAUCGGCCACACGGGAACUGAGACACGGUCCAGACUCCUACGGGAGGCAGCAGUAGGGAAUCUUCCGCAAUGGGCGAAAGCCUGACGGAGCAACGCCGCGUGAGUGAUGAAGGUCUUCGGAUCGUAAAACUCUGUUAUUAGGGAAGAACAUAUGUGUAAGUAACUGUGCACAUCUUGACGGUACCUAAUCAGAAAGCCACGGCUAACUACGUG
This 497-nucleotide ribosomal RNA is filed under the name uncultured bacterium. RNAcentral describes it as "partial 16S ribosomal RNA". It matches the Rfam family "Bacterial small subunit ribosomal RNA", at positions 28 to 507 of the family's 1533-position model. The record is from RNAcentral.